Molecule: long non-coding RNA, 1006 nt
Organism: Bos taurus (domestic cattle)
Lineage: Eukaryota; Metazoa; Chordata; Mammalia; Artiodactyla; Bovidae
Source: Ensembl
AAAGUGGCAGCAGGAUUUGCUAAUGAACUGGACUAACGAAGAUUGGAAACAAACCAAAGAUUUCUCAGAAGUUCUCGGUCAUGGAAUAGGCAAAUGGUAGCAUGGAUGAAGGGAGCACUCAGGAAGGGCUGGCUUUUCCUGAAAGUAGAUGGUGAUCCAGUGGCUUCUGUUGAGAGCUUCCCUGGUGGCUCAUACACUAAAGCAUCUGCCUACAAUGCGGGAGACCCAGGUUCAAUCCAUGGAUCAGGAAGAUCUCCUGGAGAAGGAAAUGGAAACCCACUCCAGUAUUCUUGCCUGGAAAAUCCUAUAGACGGAGGAACCUGAUCCCAUUUAGUGAAUCCUGCUUGCUCUACCUUCAGGAUAUAUCCAGCUGCUGCCCCUGCCAUCCUGUCCAGGCCAUUGCCACCUCUUGUCUGAAUCAUCACAGAGCCUCUAACACGUCUCCCUUCAUCCUUUUGCCCCUGACACGGUGGAGAAGAGACCAAACAGCUGCCAGAGAUCCUCAGCAUGGCGCCCUGGGGCACCGAGGACGCGUGUGCUGCUGUGAAAGCAGAAGCCAGAAUUCUCAUGAUGACUUCAGGGCCCCCUGUGACUCGGCCCCUACGUCCUUCUCUUCAUGCCCUCGCACACUUCUCACCUCUCAUUCUAUUCCAGCCACAGGGGUCUGGCUUCCGUUCCCUGAACUCUCAUGCCCUGAGGCCUUUGCACUCGCUGUCCCUUCUGCCCACACUGCUCUUCUCUAGGGUAUCUGACAGCUCACUCCCUCACCUCUUUCAGGGCUUUCAAAUGCCACCUUCCUCAUGGAGCCUUCCUGGUCAUUCUAUUCAUAAUUUCUCCCCUAAUGGAAACCCUUCACCCCACUAUGUCCCUGAUUUCAUUUUCUCUUUAGAACUUAUGAUGAUCUGACAUACAUAUUUAUAUUAUAUAUUUUAUAUACUUAUUGUGUUGAUUGUCUUUUUCCUGCACAAGAAUAUGAAGUCUAUGAAGAAAUAGUUUUUUUAAAAGU